Molecule: long non-coding RNA, 1691 nt
Filed under: Carica papaya (papaya)
Lineage: Eukaryota; Viridiplantae; Streptophyta; Magnoliopsida; Brassicales; Caricaceae
Description: long non-coding RNA (CPAP_LNC002594)
Source: RNAcentral
UGAAAUCUAGUUCUCUUGAUCUGAAAUGGUUAAAUAAAGAAUGAGAUACACUAAUCCAGUAAGGAUCCCUCAUCUUAUUUUUUAUCAUAGAACUGAAGUUUAAAUAAAUAAUAAUGUGGUAUUUUGUGCGAUUUUAGUAAACAUGCAUAAUUAAUUAUGGGUUGUUAAUGGAGCCGGAACUGGAAAUUAUCUACUGCUAUAUUGUUGAUUGUUUUUAUAGUUUACCUGCAUGAUGGUAUCUUAUUUAUUUAUUUUAUGGCUUGAACGCAUGUAUGGUUAUUUUACGUGUUUACUGCUGAAUCGGGAAAAAUGAAGUUUAAACGAUAAAGAAAUUGUGUGAUUAAAUGAUUAGAUGAAACGUCAGUUUUACUGUUUAACCUGAGAGAUGGUGAACAGACCGGGUACAUAAGGAACUCUACCGUGAACGUUAUCUCAUACUGGACGAAAUAUGAAAACUUGAUAAUUUGGUGCUCAUAUCAGACGAGGUAUGGGGGCAGUCCGCUUCACCCUCAUACCGGACGGAGUAUUGAAGUUUUGUAAAUUGGCACUUGUCGAAUUAUCCUGAUGUAUUUUUAGUUUUUCUUUCAGUAUUCUCUAAGUCUAUCAAUUAAUAAUUACUAUAAAAGAUUUGUAAUUAUUAAUUUGAUUUUUAAUUAAAUAUGUGAUACUUUGAUUUUUCUACAUCAACUCGAUUAUAUUACUCUCAUUCAAAUCGCAAUUAACGUUUAACAGUAUUUGUCUAAUUAAUAUUUUACUCUCGUUAUUCUAAAAUCAUCAAUCUCAAAUUAAACAGUGAGUUGGUCAAUUCUCACAAUUAAAUUAAGUUUAAUGUUGUGAAAUUAUAAUAAAAUGAAAGCUAAAAAUUUAACCACAAACAUAUAUUUAAUUCAGACUACAUCAAUCAUUCGGACAAAUGAAAUUUAGUGAGAUAUAGUGGUUUAAGCAACACAAAGUAUAUUUGAGAACAGAUUAAUCAUGUAAUUAAUUAAAAAUGAAUAUAUGAAAAUCUCAAACGCAAACAUUCACAUUUCAUCAUAAUAUCCUAAAAAUAAGUUAAUUGAAAACAAAAUAAAUAAAUUACUUGAUAAUUUUUCUCAACUUCUCUCUCUCUCUCCACCGCAUUUGUUCUGCUAUCCGCCACUUCAACUCUCUCUCCACUGCAGGGUCGCGCUCCGCUUCCCCGUCAAAUCUACACCGACUCGCGUCUGCUUCCCUUUGCCUCUGUUUGCGCUUGCUACUUUUGCAGAUCUAGUUUCUGCUUUCUCUCUCUAGCUCUUAUCUCUCUCUCUCUUUCUGUCUCUCUCUACAUAUCUAAUCGUUCCCCACAAUCUGUUCCCUUCUUCUUCUUUAGAUCUCCCUUUUUGUCGGUGGUGGGAGGUAGGGUUUUAUUGCUCAUGCCUCCUCUUUUUCCUCUUCAAGCCUCCUCUUUCCCUUCCAACCGCCUCUUCCUAUUCUGCAAAUUUUUUUUCCAAAAUGACAUUGUUUAGUAUCUGGUUCCCAGACUCAAAACGACGUCGUUUUGAGUGUUGUUGGACUUGAAGCUUCACUAAUUACUUAUUGUAAAAAUCUUAGUCACGAUAAAAUCACAAUUCCAUAAAAAAAGAAAAUGGUUAGACUCAAUGCAAAAAAAUUGGGUUCAAAACAAAUGAAGUUGCAUUUUUGCAAUUUAAAGCUCUAAAGACUCAAUAUCC